RNAcentral lists this long non-coding RNA (232 nucleotides) under Olea europaea (common olive). RNAcentral describes it as "long non-coding RNA (OEUR_LNC003024)". The record is from RNAcentral. Lineage: Eukaryota; Viridiplantae; Streptophyta; Magnoliopsida; Lamiales; Oleaceae.
AGCUAAAGUGCAGAAUUAGAAUGAAAAUAUACCAAGUAUGAGAUUGAGGACCAUACAAGACGAUUGGAGGAAGAAAGAAGUAACAUUGGACUGAAUUGAAGAAAAGUGAAAGAUGAAGGACUAAAUUGCAAUUAAUCAAAAGAUGAGCCGAGCAAAUGAUCAAGGAAUUGAUUGACCCAAACAUCAAUUAGGAGUCAAUAUUUGAUAAUGGAACAAAGGAAAGAAAGAAAAG